AUCCAGCCAACGAGUCCUAAAUAGGACGAAACGUGUGUCCUGGAU
Schistosoma mattheei is the source of this 45-nucleotide non-coding RNA. NCBI's taxonomy places the organism in Eukaryota, Metazoa, Platyhelminthes, Trematoda, Strigeidida, Schistosomatidae. The record is from Rfam.